Molecule: ribosomal RNA, 447 nt
Filed under: uncultured bacterium
Lineage: Bacteria
Description: bacterial SSU rRNA
Rfam family: Bacterial small subunit ribosomal RNA
Source: RNAcentral
UGGGGAAUAUUGGACAAUGGGCGAAAGCCUGAUCCAGCCAUGCCGCGUGAGUGAUGAAGGCCUUAGGGUUGUAAAACUCUUUCGCCGGGGAAGAUAAUGACGGUACCCGGAGAAGAAGCUCCGGCUAACUUCGUGCCAGCAGCCGCGGUAAUACGAAGGGAGCUAGCGUUGUUCGGAAUUACUGGGCGUAAAGCGCACGUAGGCGGGCUAUUAAGUCAGGGGUGAAAUCCCGAGGCUCAACCUCGGAACUGCCUUUGAUACUGAUAGUCUUGAGAUCGGGAGAGGGUAGAGGAAUUUCCGGUGUAGCGGUGAAAUGCGUAGAUAUCGGAAGGAACAUCGGUGGCGAAGGCGUCUACCUGGCCUAAUACUGACACUGAGGUGCGAAAGCGUGGGGAGCAAACAGGAUUAGAUACCCGUGUAGUCCCUGAGCGGGCUGGCAAGGCGCAU